AACGAACGCUGGCGGCAUGCUUAACACAUGCAAGUCGAACGACCUGAGGGCUUCGGUCCCCGUUGCUAGUGGCGCACGGGUGAGUAACACGUCGGAAUAUGCCCUUUAGUACGGAAUAACCAAGGGAAACUUUGGCUAAUACCGCAUACGCCCUUCGGGGGAAAGAUUUAUCGCUAAAGGAUUAGCCCUCGUCUGAUUAGGUAGUUCGUGAGGUCAUGUCUCACCAAGCCGACGACCAGUAGCUGGGCUGAGAGGAUGAGCAGCGACACUGGGACUGAGAAACGGCGGGGAAUCUUACGGGAGGGAGGAGAGGGGAAUAUUGGAAAAUGGGGGGAACGCUGAAGCAGCCAGGGCGGGUGAGUGAAGAAGGCAGUGGGGAAGCAAAGCACGUUAGAAGGGGACGAUGAUGACGGUACCUGUAGAAGAAGCCCCGGCAAACUUCGUG
Molecule: ribosomal RNA, 445 nt
Filed under: uncultured bacterium
Lineage: Bacteria
Description: partial 16S ribosomal RNA
Rfam family: Bacterial small subunit ribosomal RNA
Source: RNAcentral